Molecule: ribosomal RNA, 253 nt
Filed under: uncultured bacterium
Lineage: Bacteria
Description: partial 16S ribosomal RNA
Rfam family: Bacterial small subunit ribosomal RNA
Source: RNAcentral
UACGUAGGGUGCGAGCGUUAAUCGGAAUUACUGGGCGUAAAGCGUGCGCAGGCGGUUGCAUAAGACAGAUGUGAAAUCCCCGGGCUCAACCUGGGAACUGCGGUUGUGACUGUGCGACUGGAGUACGGUAGAGGGGGGUGGAAUUCCUGGUGUAGCAGUGAAAUGCGUAGAUAUCAGGAGGAACAUCGAUGGCGAAGGCAGCCCCCUGGACCUGUACUGACGCUCAUGCACGAAAGCGUGGGGAGCAAACAGG